CAGAGUCUGACCGGGGGAAAAAGGAACUUCACAAAUAGCCACGAACAAAGCCUAAAACAACAAGAGCUGACGAAGGCAGUUUCGGCUCUGCACAGCCAUGGAAACGCAGAUGUGUAUCAAUGAGCCCAGAUGGCCAUGGCAGAUUGUCGGCUCAGAGUCCCAACACAACAAGAGGGUGCCAUGUGGCUGCUGCCUCUGCUCUGGUACAGCUAGAAAAGUCCUCUGCAAAUCCUAUUCUGCAGUGGCAUAACAAGUCAAAAAUGAUAUUAAUGGCAGAAGCAAUACAACUCGACACAAGGUCAGUGUAAUGGUUGUGUGUGUUUAUUCAAACUUGAUUUAUGAUUUUGCUGCUGUAUCUAGCAGUCUUUCUGUCUUUCCCAUUGAGAUAAAGGACAAUUGCCCAAGUGUACCAUCACUAUGCUUUAUUAUACUGCU
Long non-coding RNA from Trachemys scripta elegans, 435 nucleotides. RefSeq lists it as uncharacterized. The record is from RefSeq and is a predicted model, not a curated record. The transcript is spliced from 3 exons. Lineage: Eukaryota; Metazoa; Chordata; Testudines; Emydidae.